This 327-nucleotide ribosomal RNA is filed under the name uncultured eukaryote. Its description in RNAcentral is "partial 18S ribosomal RNA". It matches the Rfam family "Eukaryotic small subunit ribosomal RNA", at positions 1470 to 1796 of the family's 1831-position model. The record is from RNAcentral.
CCCUCAGAUGUUCUGGGCCGCACACGCGCUACACUGAAGGAGGCAGCGUGUACUCCUGGAUCGAAAGAUUUGGGUAACCCGCGAAUCUCCUUCGUGCUAGGGAUUGAGGUUUGCAAUUAUCCUUCAUGAACGAGGAAUUCCCAGUAAGUGCAAGUCAUAAGCUUGCGCUGACUACGUCCCUGCCCUUUGUACACACCGCCCGUCGCUACUACCGAUUGAAUGAUUUAGUGAGGACUUCGGACUGGGACCGAUGCGGCUUUCGGGCUGCGUCGGUAUUCUGGAAAGAUGUCCAAACUGUAUCAUUUAGAGGAAGUAAAAGUCGUAACA